RNAcentral lists this ribosomal RNA (301 nucleotides) under uncultured bacterium. RNAcentral's name for it is "bacterial SSU rRNA". It matches the Rfam family "Bacterial small subunit ribosomal RNA", at positions 30 to 334 of the family's 1533-position model. The record is from RNAcentral.
AUUGAACGCUGGCGGCAGGCUUAACACAUGCAAGUCGAACGUGAAAGGUCUUCGGACUGAGUAGAGUGGCGGACGGGUGAGUAACGCGUAGGAAUCUACCUAGUAGUGGGGGACAACAUGGUGAAAACCAUGCUAAUACCGCAUACGCCCUACGGGGGAAAGCGGGGGCUCUUCGGACCUCGCGCUAUUAGAUGAGCCUGCGUAAGAUUAGCUAGUUGGUGGGGUAAAGGCCUACCAAGGCGACGAUCUUUAGCUGGUCUGAGAGGAUGAUCAGCCACACUGGGACUGAGACACGGCCCAG